GGGCACGCUGAGGGCUGCCGGGAGCUGGAGUUCCUGAAGGGCUGGCCUGGUUCUGUCUCUUUGGGAUGCUGAGCAAGGUGGGAGAUGCGAUAUUGCAUCCAAAAGUAUAUUAGUAGAGCAUGUUACUGCAUACAAGGACAUCCUGGCUUCGGUCAAGCAGGAAUAUGAGGCAUUUGAGGUUGGGCUACCAUGCAGCAGGACCUGGACAGGCUGGAGAGUUGUGCACCGAGGAAGCUGAUGAGGUUUAACAAGUGCAAGUGUAGAUUCCUGCACCUGGGGAGGAAUAACUGCAUGCAUCAGUACAGGUGAGAGGCUGACCUUGCUGGAGAGGAGCACCGCAUAGCACGCCCUGGGUGUCCUGGAAGGAUGAGAGGCACCAGGCCCAUGUUGCUGCAUGGGCAGCUCCCAGCUAGACAAAAUGAGAACAUUUCAGUUCUUUCAAAAUAUGUGAAAGUCUUCUCAGUUUAAAUGAUAUGCCUUUGUACAAACGUAUUAGUUUAUAAAGUUGUUCUUUUUUACUUUAUAAAGUCGUUCUUUAUAUUAUUUUAUUUUAUAUUCUAUUCUAAUGCUUUAGCACUUUUAACUCUUGUUGAGUUAGCAAUGUGGUUAUCCCACGCAGCCAUAUCUUAUAUGCGAAUAUUCAUACAUUUUCUGUGAAUUCCAAGAAUUCCUAUAUAUAUUAAAAUCUAAUACUGUGCAUGCACUGCGUUAAUACGGGGCUCUUGCAAGGGGUGGUCGCUGGGUUCUACUGGGAGAUGAGCUAAGUAGGUCAGGUCCCUUAUUUGGUCACAAAAAUUAUUUACAGAAAUUGGCUGCUGGCUAAUUAUCACGUCAACCCUGUUGUGGUGCCUAUAGUAUCAACCCAAGCAGGGUGCAGUGUACCUCCCCACAGCUUGUGGAAUGUUGGGACUCUGCUUUUAGGCUCCAGAUGUCCUGCUUAUCACAGGA
This is a long non-coding RNA of Numida meleagris (helmeted guineafowl), 948 nucleotides long. RefSeq lists it as uncharacterized. Lineage: Eukaryota; Metazoa; Chordata; Aves; Galliformes; Numididae. The transcript is spliced from 2 exons. The record is from RefSeq and is a predicted model, not a curated record.